GCCAGGAUGAGAACAGGCACGGUGACUUCUUCUCUGCCCUGCUAAAGGCUCAGCCGCAGUUCCUCAAUGACUGGAAGGCCAAGCUCUGGUCACGGUUCUUCUGCCUCUCGGUAAUUUCAGUCUAUUCCUUCAUUAAAGGUGGGUUAACUCUGUAAGUUGUUGUUCUCCCCCUUCUGACGAUAGUGGUAUAUGACCUUCUGCAGGUGUAUGUGACCAUGUACCUAAAUGACUGCCAACGCACUGCAUUCUAUGAGGGAAUUGGUUUGGACACCAAGGAAUUUGACAUGCAUGUGAUCAUUGAGGUGAAAAUGAGCUGUCUUUUCUUAACAGUGCCAUCGUAUCUGCAUUUUAGUUGUCACUUAGGCACUUACACUUACUGUGUUUCAGAUAAUUCUGAACAACUGCUGAACAUGGAAAUAAGGUCCUUGUAAAAUAUUAAAGAAAACACAUGAACCUUGUUUGAUUGUUUCAGCUCUAGUGAGAAUUUAUGAAUUACUUCAGAACUUGUGAUAUAAAUCAAGGCCAUUGCUGAUAAUGUAAUGUCUGCCUAUCUCUGCAGACC
RNAcentral lists this long non-coding RNA (562 nucleotides) under Setaria italica (foxtail millet). RNAcentral's name for it is "long non-coding RNA (SITA_LNC003415)". Lineage: Eukaryota; Viridiplantae; Streptophyta; Magnoliopsida; Poales; Poaceae. The record is from RNAcentral.